AGCACCUAUCCAGUGAGGCUGUGAGGAAGGCCUUAUACCAAGAAUAGGAGAAAGCUAGAAGGAGCCCAUACCUCUGACUGCCCUUGACUGCCCACGCAAGAACUCAUGCUGGAAAAACAAAGCCCUGUUUAGGCCUGUUUUUCCUGGAACCAGCAGGACUCCCAUCCAGGUCCACUCAAGUUGUGACACUGCUUGGCUUACUGUGCCAUGAUAAAUAAGCCAGUUUGAGUCACUUGGUCUAAUAUCGAGACCACGAACAUAUUGAUCACAGAAUGUGUUAGGUAAGCAUGUUGUUGACUGAAGUGUAAGUAAGGUGCUCACCUUAAAUGCAUGUGCCAACAUCAGCAUCUUCAGAAGAGUCUCUUUCCCUUUGGGACAUCGAGGUGACUGACAGUUAAACAAGCCGUAUUUGGAGUAGGUGUACAAUCAGCCUCCUUCCAGUUCUCCUUGGCACUUUCCAGUUCACAAAGGACACUUCACUCCUUUUUGGUUUUUUUGAGACAGGGUCUCACUCUGUCACCCAGGCUAGAGUACGGUGGUGAGAUCACCC
RNAcentral lists this long non-coding RNA (550 nucleotides) under Homo sapiens (human). RNAcentral describes it as "HSALNT0309662". Lineage: Eukaryota; Metazoa; Chordata; Mammalia; Primates; Hominidae. The record is from RNAcentral.